RNAcentral lists this small RNA (50 nucleotides) under pig gut metagenome. RNAcentral's name for it is "Streptococcus sRNA SpF59 (ldcC RNA)". It matches the Rfam family "Streptococcus sRNA SpF59 (ldcC RNA)". The record is from RNAcentral.
GACCGCUGCACUGCAGCCAAGGCCACACGGACAGCCGGGUCGAAUGCCGA